UACGUAGGGUGCGAGCGUUUGUCCGGAAUUAUUGGGCGUAAAGAGCUUGUAGGCGGUUUGUCGCGUCUGCCGUGAAAGCCCAGGGCUUAACCCUGGGUCUGCGGUGGGUACGGGCAGACUAGAGUGUGGUAGGGGAGACUGGAAUUCCUGGUGUAGCGGUGAAAUGCGCAGAUAUCUGGAGGAACACCGGUGGCGAAGGCGGCGACCUGGUCCUAUACGUGACACUCAUACACGAAAAGCG
Molecule: ribosomal RNA, 241 nt
Filed under: uncultured bacterium
Lineage: Bacteria
Description: partial 16S ribosomal RNA
Rfam family: Bacterial small subunit ribosomal RNA
Source: RNAcentral